CGGGGCGUGGCGCAGUCCGGUAGCGUGCUUGAAUGGGGUUCAAGAGGUCGGCGGUUCGAAUCCGCCCGCCCCGA
RNAcentral lists this transfer RNA (74 nucleotides) under Anaerolineae bacterium. Its description in RNAcentral is "tRNA-Pro". It matches the Rfam family "tRNA". From Rfam's summary of the family: Transfer RNA (tRNA) molecules are approximately 80 nucleotides in length. RNAcentral also lists the same sequence under 1 other name. The record is from RNAcentral. Lineage: Bacteria; Bacillati; Chloroflexota; Anaerolineae.